AAGUCGAACGCUUCUUUCCUCCCGAGUGCUUGCACUCAAUUGGAAAGAGGAGUGGCGGACGGGUGAGUAACACGUGGGUAACCUACCCAUCAGAGGGGGAUAACACUUGGAAACAGGUGCUAAUACCGCAUAACAGUUUAUGCCGCAUGGCAUAAGAGUGAAAGGCGCUUUCGGGUGUCGCUGAUGGAUGGACCCGCGGUGCAUUAGCUAGUUGGUGAGGUAACGGCUCACCAAGGCCACGAUGCAUAGCCGACCUGAGAGGGUGAUCGGCCACACUGGGACUGAGACACGGCCCAGACUCCUACGGGAGGCAGCAGUAGGGAAUCUUCGGCAAUGGACGAAAGUCUGACCGAGCAACGCCGCGUGAGUGAAGAAGGUUUUCGGAUCGUAAAACUCUGUUGUUAGAGAAGAACAAGGACGUUAGUAACUGAACGUCCCCUGACGGUAUCUAACCAGAAAGCCACGGCUAACUACGUGCCAGCAGCCGCGGUAAUACGUAGGUGGCAAGCGUUGUCCGGAUUUAUUGGGCGUAAAGCGAGCGCAGGCGGUUUCUUAAGUCUGAUGUGAAAGCCCCCGGCUCAACCGGGGAGGGUCAUUGGAAACUGGGAGACUUGAGUGCAGAAGAGGAGAGUGGAAUUCCAUGUGUAGCGGUGAAAUGCGUAGAUAUAUGGAGGAACACCAGUGGCGAAGG
Molecule: ribosomal RNA, 691 nt
Filed under: uncultured Enterococcus sp.
Lineage: Bacteria; Bacillati; Bacillota; Bacilli; Lactobacillales; Enterococcaceae
Description: bacterial SSU rRNA
Rfam family: Bacterial small subunit ribosomal RNA
Source: RNAcentral